This 629-nucleotide ribosomal RNA is filed under the name Vibrio sp. HZBN11. RNAcentral describes it as "bacterial SSU rRNA". It matches the Rfam family "Bacterial small subunit ribosomal RNA", at positions 383 to 1004 of the family's 1533-position model. Lineage: Bacteria; Pseudomonadati; Pseudomonadota; Gammaproteobacteria; Vibrionales; Vibrionaceae. The record is from RNAcentral.
CUGAUGCAGCCAUGCCGCGUGUAUGAAGAAGGCCUUCGGGUUGUAAAGUACUUUCAGUUGUGAGGAAGGGGGUGUCGUUAAUAGCGGCAUUUCUUGACGUUAGCAACAGAAGAAGCACCGGCUAACUCCGUGCCAGCAGCCGCGGUAAUACGGAGGGUGCGAGCGUUAAUCGGAAUUACUGGGCGUAAAGCGCAUGCAGGUGGUUCAUUAAGUCAGAUGUGAAAGCCCGGGGCUCAACCUCGGAACUGCAUUUGAAACUGGUGAACUAGAGUACUGUAGAGGGGGGUAGAAUUUCAGGUGUAGCGGUGAAAUGCGUAGAGAUCUGAAGGAAUACCAGUGGCGAAGGCGGCCCCCUGGACAGAUACUGACACUCAGAUGCGAAAGCGUGGGGAGCAAACAGGAUUAGAUACCCUGGUAGUCCACGCCGUAAACGAUGUCUACUUGGAGGUUGUGGCCUUGAGCCGUGGCUUUCGGAGCUAACGCGUUAAGUAGACCGCCUGGGGAGUACGGUCGCAAGAUUAAAACUCAAAUGAAUUGACGGGGGCCCGCACAAGCGGUGGAGCAUGUGGUUUAAUUCGAUGCAACGCGAAGAACCUUACCUACUCUUGACAUCCAGAGAAGCCAGCGGA